Molecule: ribosomal RNA, 495 nt
Filed under: uncultured bacterium
Lineage: Bacteria
Description: partial 16S ribosomal RNA
Rfam family: Bacterial small subunit ribosomal RNA
Source: RNAcentral
GACGAACGCUGGCGGCGUGCCUAAUACAUGCAAGUAGAACGCUGAAGGAGGAGCUUGCUUCUCUGGAUGAGUUGCGAACGGGUGAGUAACGCGUAGGUAACCUGCCUGGUAGCGGGGGAUAACUAUUGGAAACGAUAGCUAAUACCGCAUAAUAGCAGUUAUUGCAUGAUAACUGUUUGAAAGGUGCAAUUGCACCACUACCAGAUGGACCUGCGUUGUAUUAGCUAGUUGGUGGGGUAACGGCUCACCAAGGCGACGAUACAUAGCCGACCUGAGAGGGUGAUCGGCCACACUGGGACUGAGACACGGCCCAGACUCCUACGGGAGGCAGCAGUAGGGAAUCUUCGGCAAUGGACGGAAGUCUGACCGAGCAACGCCGCGUGAGUGAAGAAGGUUUUCGGAUCGUAAAGCUCUGUUGUAAGAGAAGAACGAAUGUGAGAGUGGAAAGUUCACACUGUGACGGUAUCUUACCAGAAAGGGACGGCUAACUACGUG